This 495-nucleotide ribosomal RNA is filed under the name uncultured bacterium. RNAcentral describes it as "partial 16S ribosomal RNA". It matches the Rfam family "Bacterial small subunit ribosomal RNA", at positions 28 to 507 of the family's 1533-position model. The record is from RNAcentral.
GACGAACGCUGGCGGCGUGCCUAAUACAUGCAAGUAGAACGCUGAAGGAGGAGCUUGCUCUUCUGGCUGAGUUGCGAACGGGUGAGUAACGCGUAGGUAACCUGCCUGGUAGCGUGGGAUAACUAUUGGAAACGAUAGCUAAUACCGCAUAAGAGUAGAUGUUGCAUGACAUUUACUUAAAAGGUGCAAUUUCAUCACUACCAGAUGGACCUGCGUUGUAUUAGCUAGUUGGUGGGGUAACGGCUUACCAAGGCGACGAUACAUAGCCGACCUGAGAGGGUGAUCGGCCACACUGGGACUGAGGCACGGCCCAGACUCCUACGGGAGGCAGCAGUAGGGAAUCUUCGGCAAUGGACGGAAGUCUGACCGAGCAACGCCGCGUGAGUGAAGAAGGUUUUCGGAUCGUAAAGCUCUGUUGUAAGAGAAGAACGAGUGUGAGAGUGGAAAGUUCACACUGUGACGGUAUCUUACCAGAAAGGGACGGCUAACUACGUG